Molecule: small nuclear RNA, 107 nt
Organism: Rana temporaria (common frog)
Lineage: Eukaryota; Metazoa; Chordata; Amphibia; Anura; Ranidae
Source: RefSeq, a predicted model, not a curated record
GCCCUUCUUGGAAAAGACAUAUACUAAAAUUGGAUUGAUUCUGAGAAGUUUAGCAUGGUUCCUGGGCAAGGUUGGCACUGCUUAGCAGUGAUGUGAUCCAAGUUUAA